UCCUGGUUUCCCAGGCAGUCCCGUUAGAGUGCUUUAUCUUACGAUAAGUGGCAACUAACAGCAAGGGUUGCGCUCGUUAAAGGACUUAACCCAACAUCUCACGACACGAGCUGACGACAGCCAUGCAGCACCUGUGCAACUGUCGGACCGAAGCCCGAAGACCGUAUUUCUACGGCUGUCAGAAGCAUGUCAAGCCCAGGUAAGGUUCCUCGCGUACCGUCGAAUUAAACCACAUGUUCCACCGCUUGUGCGGACCCCCGUCAAUUCCUUUGAGUUUUAGUCUUGCGACCGUAAUCCCCAGGCGAAUCACUUAACGCGUUAGCUUCGACACCAAUCCAGCUAAGCCAGACUGACGUCCAGUGAUUAUCGUUUACAGCGUGGACUAC
RNAcentral lists this unclassified non-coding RNA (386 nucleotides) under uncultured bacterium. RNAcentral describes it as "contains 16S-23S intergenic spacer region". The record is from RNAcentral.